Molecule: ribosomal RNA, 584 nt
Filed under: uncultured bacterium
Lineage: Bacteria
Description: bacterial SSU rRNA
Rfam family: Bacterial small subunit ribosomal RNA
Source: RNAcentral
CCUACGGGAGGCAGCAGUGGGGAAUUUUGGACAAUGGGCGAAAGCCUGAUCCAGCAAUGCCGCGUGCAGGAUGAAGGCCUUCGGGUUGUAAACUGCUUUUGUACGGAACGAAACGGUUCGCCUUAAUACGGUGGGCUAAUGACGGUACCGUAAGAAUAAGCACCGGCUAACUACGUGCCAGCAGCCGCGGUAAUACGUAGGGUGCGAGCGUUAAUCGGAAUUACUGGGCGUAAAGCGUGCGCAGGCGGUUAUAUAAGACAGAUGUGAAAUCCCCGGGCUCAACCUGGGACCUGCAUUUGUGACUGUAUAGCUAGAGUACGGUAGAGGGGGAUGGAAUUCCGCGUGUAGCAGUGAAAUGCGUAGAUAUGCGGAGGAACACCGAUGGCGAAGGCAAUCCCCUGGACCUGUACUGACGCUCAUGCACGAAAGCGUGGGGAGCAAACAGGAUUAGAUACCCUGGUAGUCCACGCCCUAAACGAUGUCAACUGGUUGUUGGGUCUUCACUGACUCAGUAACGAAGCUAACGCGUGAAGUUGACCGCCUGGGGAGUACGGCCGCAAGGUUGAAACUCAAAGGAUUGACGG